This 253-nucleotide ribosomal RNA is filed under the name uncultured Eubacteriales bacterium. Its description in RNAcentral is "uncultured Clostridiales bacterium partial 16S ribosomal RNA". It matches the Rfam family "Bacterial small subunit ribosomal RNA", at positions 524 to 776 of the family's 1533-position model. Lineage: Bacteria; Bacillati; Bacillota; Clostridia; Eubacteriales. The record is from RNAcentral.
UACGUAGGUGGCAAGCGUUGUCCGGAAUGACUGGGCGUAAAGGGAGCGUAGGCGGCGCAGUAAGUUAGGAGUGAAAUCCCGGGGCUCAACCCCGGAACUGCUUUUAAAACUGCUGUGCUUGAGUGAUGGAGAGGAAAGCGGAAUUCCUAGUGUAGCGGUGGAAUGCGUAGAGAUUAGGAAGAACACCAGUGGCGAAGGCGACUUACUGGACUGUAACUGACGCUGAGGCAUGAGAGCAUGGGGAGCAAACAGG